This 851-nucleotide ribosomal RNA is filed under the name Dennisiomyces glabrescentipes. RNAcentral describes it as "eukaryotic LSU rRNA". It matches the Rfam family "Eukaryotic large subunit ribosomal RNA", at positions 78 to 906 of the family's 3401-position model. Lineage: Eukaryota; Fungi; Basidiomycota; Agaricomycetes; Agaricales; Tricholomataceae. The record is from RNAcentral.
CCCUAGUAACUGCGAGUGAAGCGGGAAAAGCUCAAAUUUAAAAUCUGGCAGUCUUUGGSUGUCCGAGUUGUAAUCUAGAGAAGUGUUAUCUGCGCUGGACCGUGUAUAAGUCUCCUGGAAUGGAGCGUCGUAGAGGGUGAGAAUCCCGUCUUUGACAUGGACUACCAGGGCUUUGUGAUGCGCUCUCAAAGAGUCGAGUUGUUUGGGAAUGCAGCUCUAAAUGGGUGGUAAAUUCCAUCUAAAGCUAAAUAUUGGCGAGAGACCGAUAGCGAACAAGUACCGUGAGGGAAAGAUGAAAAGAACUUUGGAAAGAGAGUUAAACAGUACGUGAAAUUGUUGAAAGGGAAACACUUGAAGUCAGUCGCGUUGGCCAGGGAUCAACCUUGCUUUUUUAUGUAUGGUGUAUUUCCUGGUUGAUGGGUCAGCAUCAAUUUUGACUGGUGGAUAAAGGUUGGGGGAAUGUGGCAUCUUUGGAUGUGUUAUAGCCCCUGACUGUAUACAUCAGUUGGGAUUGAGGAACUCAGCAUGCUGGAAAGGCCAGGUUUUUUAAAAACCAUGUUCAUGCUUAGGAUGCUGGCAUAAUGGCUUUAAUUGACCCGUCUUGAAACACGGACCAAGGAGUCUAACAUGCAUGCGAGUGUUUGGGUGGAAAACCCGAGUGCGUAAUGAAAGUGAAAAUUGAGAUCCCUGUCAUAGGGAGCAUUGAUGCCCGGACCAGACCUUCUGUGACGGAUCCGCGGUUGAGCAUGUAUGCUGGGACCCGAAAGAUGGUGAACUAUGCCUGAAUAGGGUGAAGCCAGAGGAAACUCUGGUGGAGGCUCGCAGCGAUUCUGACGUGCAAAUCGAUCGUC